GUGCCAGCCGCCGCGGUAAGACGUAGGGCGCAAGCGUUGUCCGGAUUUAUUGGGCGUAAAGAGCUCGUAGGCGGCUUGUUGCGUCGGCUGUGAAAACCCGCGGCUUAACCGUGGGCUUGCAGCCGAUACGGGCGGGCUGGAGUUCGGUAGGGGAGACUGGAAUUCCUGGUGUGGCGGUGAAAUGCGCAGAUACCAGGAGGAACACCGGUGGCGAAGGCGGGUCUCUGGGCCGAUACUGACGCUGAGGAGCGAAAGCGUGGGGAGCGAACAGGAUUAGAAACCCCGGUAGUCC
RNAcentral lists this ribosomal RNA (292 nucleotides) under uncultured bacterium. RNAcentral describes it as "partial 16S ribosomal RNA". It matches the Rfam family "Bacterial small subunit ribosomal RNA", at positions 505 to 796 of the family's 1533-position model. The record is from RNAcentral.